RNAcentral lists this ribosomal RNA (253 nucleotides) under uncultured bacterium. RNAcentral describes it as "partial 16S ribosomal RNA". It matches the Rfam family "Bacterial small subunit ribosomal RNA", at positions 524 to 776 of the family's 1533-position model. The record is from RNAcentral.
UACGUAGGGAGCAAGCGUUGUCCGGAAUCAUUGGGCGUAAAGCGCGCGUAGGUGGCUUCGUAAGUCCGUUGUGAAAGUCAAAGGCUCAACCUUUGAAUGCCGAUGGAUACUGCGGAGCUAGAGUACGGAAGAGGCGAGUGGAAUUCCUGGUGUAGCGGUGGAAUGCGCAGAUAUCAGGAGGAACACCAAUAGCGAAGGCAGCUCGCUGGGACGUUACUGACACUAAGGCGCGAAGGCGUGGGGAGCGAACAGG